CUUCCUGAGCAAGUUCUGCUAGCAUUUCUUCAUAGCACUCGUCUAUUUCGGGUUGAGAUUUAGCUAGCCCAAAGUUCCUUCUUUCAGAGGGAUCCAAUCUCGGAAGAACACUGAUUUUUCCAAGAUGUCCCGCAUCGACGCUCUAUGAUCUCCUAUUUGUAGUCUGGCUUGACUAAAUACGCUCUCCGAUGCAACAGUUGACGCUUGAAUGGACAGAAN
Molecule: long non-coding RNA, 219 nt
Filed under: Nicotiana benthamiana
Lineage: Eukaryota; Viridiplantae; Streptophyta; Magnoliopsida; Solanales; Solanaceae
Description: long non-coding RNA (NBEN_LNC033612)
Source: RNAcentral